This 460-nucleotide ribosomal RNA is filed under the name uncultured bacterium. Its description in RNAcentral is "partial 16S ribosomal RNA". It matches the Rfam family "Bacterial small subunit ribosomal RNA", at positions 338 to 795 of the family's 1533-position model. The record is from RNAcentral.
CCUACGGGAGGCAGCAGUGAGGAAUAUUGGUCAAUGGGCGUAAGCCUGAACCAGCCAAGUCGCGUGAGGGAUGAAGGUUCUAUGGAUCGUACACCUCUUUUAUAAGGGAAUAAAGUGCGGGACGUGUCCCUUUUUGUAUGUACCUUAUGAAUAAGGAUCGGCUAACUCCGUGCCAGCAGCCGCGGUAAUACGGAGGGUCCGAGCGUUAUCCGGAUUUAUUGGGUUUAAAGGGUGCGUCGGCGGCCUUUUAAGUCAGCGGUGAAAGUCUGUGGCUCAACCAUAGAAUUGCCGUUGAAACUGGGAGGUUUGAGGAUGUUUGAGGCAGGGGGAAUGGGGGGGGUAGCGGUGAAAUGCUUAGAUAUCACGCAGAACCCGGAUGGCGAAGGCAGCCUGCCAAGCCAUGACGGACGCUGAUGCACGAAAGCGGGGGGAUCAAACAGGAUUAGAUACCCGAGUAGUC